RNAcentral lists this ribosomal RNA (275 nucleotides) under uncultured Sphingomonas sp. Its description in RNAcentral is "partial 16S ribosomal RNA". It matches the Rfam family "Bacterial small subunit ribosomal RNA", at positions 338 to 630 of the family's 1533-position model. Lineage: Bacteria; Pseudomonadati; Pseudomonadota; Alphaproteobacteria; Sphingomonadales; Sphingomonadaceae. The record is from RNAcentral.
CCUACGGGUGGCAGCAGUAGGGAAUAUUGGACAAUGGGCGAAAGCCUGAUCCAGCAAUGCCGCGUGAGUGAUGAAGGCCUUAGGGUUGUAAAGCUCUUUUACCCGGGAAGAUAGUGACUGUACCGGGAGAAUAAGCCCCGGCUAACUCCGUGCCAGCAGCCGCGGUAAUACGGAGGGGGCUAGCGUUGUUCGGAAUUACUGGGCGUAAAGCGCACGUAGGCGGCUUUGUAAGUCAGGGGUGAAAGCCUGGAGCUCAACUCCAGAACUGCCUUUGA